AAUUAUCAACCUUAUCAGCUUUUACAAGUUGGUAAUGGCUUGGAUGUGGGGGUCUUUUUGCUGGCUUUGUCAAGAAGUCUGCUCCCCUUAAAUGUAUUAGCCGGUGCCUCGCGUGGAGCCGUCUAUUGGUGUGAUAAUUAUCUACGCCGUGGACGUCCACUUUAAAUGAGUGUGCUGCUUCUAACUGUCCGUUAAGUUGGACAAUUAAUGACA
RNAcentral lists this unclassified non-coding RNA (213 nucleotides) under uncultured Galerina. Its description in RNAcentral is "sequence contains ITS2". The record is from RNAcentral. Lineage: Eukaryota; Fungi; Basidiomycota; Agaricomycetes; Agaricales; Cortinariaceae.